CUCCUAAGCCUGUGUUUACCACAGUCCUUACUGUCGGCGUUUAUCCAAAAACCCUCCAAAAACGCCAUUCAUUUCACUAAGAUUUGUCCAACGAACCAAGGCGGAGUUAGUGCCUACAAAAAAGACGCCAUUUCUAUUUCUCUUUAUAGUAGUGUUGUAUUAACUAGGCUCUAUGUCCCUGUCCUGUGUGUGUAUGAACCAGUGAUGAUUCACUCACCCCCUAGUGACCAGGAGAUGAGCAAAGCCGCCCCGCCACACUACCUACGAGACUGUUUGGCGGCCUUCCUCUCCUCUGAGGACCCUGUGAGGGUGGAGUUCAGUCAGAGAGCUGUUGAGGGACUGGUUAGGAAGAACCCUUCUACAGCCAGUGAGAAAAGAAAUGGAGCGGCAAGGCCACAGAGCAUGACAUACGCAUUGCUGUGCGCGACCACUUCAAGCAUGCCCCUGGUUAUUGCCAUGGGGGGAAGGGGGGGUUACCACAGCACCACACCUUCAGCAGGCUUGAAUAGUGGGGUUGAACUGUUAGUCGUUGUUUGAUCCAUUUGUUUGUUUCAGUUUUCACUAGUUAAAUCCUUUGAUGCAUUGUUGAUUUCAAUUUGGAUUGGUUGAAAAUACUAAACUUACCACUGAGUGUUCAAAGGAUUAAUAUCACCUUCCUAAUAUCGAGUUGCACCCCCCUUUUGCCCUCAGAACAGCCUCAAUUUGUUGGGUCUGCUGAACCAUGUUGACUCCAACGCUUCCCACAGUUGUGUCAAGUGGCUGGAUGUCCUUUGGGUGGUGAACCAUGUUUGAUACACACGGGAAACUGUUGAGUGUGAGAAACCCAGUAGUGUUGCAGUUCUUGACACACUCUAACCGCUGCGCCUGGCACCUACUACCAUACCCCGUUCAAAGGCACUUAAAUAUUUUGUCUUGCCCAUUCACCCUCUGAAUGGCACUCAUACACAAUCCAAGUCUCAAUUUUGCAAGAGUUGGUUGAUUGGUUGGUGCGUUGGUUUGCCAUUGUGUUGACGGAUCAGUGUUCCGUCAACGGGACAGCGCGUUAUGUCAAGAUCCCAGAUUUUAGAGAAACAACAGAUGCCGGUACAUAUAAGUGUCUUAUAUCGGCUGAAGGCUUAAAGUCUUGUUAAUAUAAGUGCACUGUUCAAUUUACAGUAGCUAUUACUGCGAAAAAAUCCAUGCUAUUGUUUGAGGAGAGCUCCUAACAACAAAACACUUUUUUCACCGCGAUAGGUUUGAUAAAUUCACCUCUGAAGGUGAAAUGAGUACUUACAUUCUGAUAUAUUGCUAUGAUUUAUCAUGCAAAGGGUCCCAGAGAUAACAUGAAGUGUUGUUUUGUUAGAUAAAAUCCUUUUUCAUAUCCUAAAAAGGUUCAUAUAGCAUGCAUGAUCGAUUUUGUAUUUCCACUCAAUUUGCAGAAGAAGGAAUCUGUGAGAAUCGCACCCUAAACGUUAUUUCAACAAGUCAAAUCACGUUCGUAUCUAUUCCUCAGAGAUCCUAGAAGGUAACAACACUUCACUAUUUCAUUAGGGGUGUAGUAUAUCCUAUAGGACACCAUGUUUGGUCAGAGAGUGACGCCUUCAUGGAACGCUGAUGACGCGGGCGGCCAUCACUUGAACGACUGUAUCUUUGUCAAAUAAGCACCAAUCGGGGUCAAACAAAGCUAGCUAGAUAGCCAAUGAGCUGGGCUUUACGGGAGUCCCAUACUGGGCUUUACAUACUCUUUAUGGUAGUACGGGACCAUGUAUAUGUCGUAAAAUGUAGCUACUAACCUUGUACGACAGCAUGCCUUUUCAUUUUGGACAAUAAUUAUAAGGAUAUUCAGAGUUAUGAAGUUAUGAAAACUGCUUGUUUUGCAAAUGUUGAACUUAUAAUAUAGCUACUAAUACUUGGAAGCUAAAUCAAAGUCCAAGUAUACAGAUUUGACAAUAUUCUUGCAUAAAAAUGGAAUAUGAAUGCGAAUGUCUCCUUCACGAUUUGUCCAAAUGUACCUGGGGACUUCACACUAAAAGUCUCGUUGUUCACUCAUACUUCAAGUUAUCCAUCUGAAACUUUGCACAUACACUGCUGGACACUAUCGGAAUUACAACCAGAGUGAUGGCUAGAAUUAUGACCUUUCUCUUGCAUUUCAAAGAUGGUGGUAGAAAAAGAUCGGUUUGUUUUAUCUUUGUAUUUUCUUCUACCAGAUCUAUUGUAUUAUAUUCUCCUACAUUCAAUUCACAUUUCCACAAACUUCAAAGUGUUUCCUUUCAAAUGGUACCAAGAAUAUGCAUAUCCUUGCUUCAGGGACUGAGCUACAGGUAGUUAGAUUUGGGUAUGUCAUUUAGGCAAAAAUUGGGAAAAAAAAGACUUUUAAAAGACUAAGAAUAGGAUGCAAUGUCCAACCCAAAAUAUAAGCUUGUUUUACUCCAUUGUUUCUAAACAAUAUAAUUGUACAAACACAUUCUCAGUUGGUUGCAUAAAUAAUUAUGAUGACUAAAUGUUACAUGAAAUAUACAUUUUAAAUAUAAAAAACGGAAUGGAAACCCCUUUGUUAAUAUGUAUUGGCAAUAAUUCACUUAAUGGUGAGGCAUAAAAAUUAAAACUGUCACACUGGAUGUUUGAAAUAUGAGUAGGUGAUUUGAGUCAUGCUUCUUCAGUGGAUAAAGACAAUUAGCAUUUGAAUGUUGUAAA
Molecule: long non-coding RNA, 2673 nt
Organism: Salvelinus fontinalis (brook trout)
Lineage: Eukaryota; Metazoa; Chordata; Actinopteri; Salmoniformes; Salmonidae
Exons: 3
Source: RefSeq, a predicted model, not a curated record